Lingula anatina is the source of this 46-nucleotide non-coding RNA. The record is from Rfam. NCBI's taxonomy places the organism in Eukaryota, Metazoa, Brachiopoda, Lingulata, Lingulida, Lingulidae.
CAUGCGGUCCUUAUCAGGACCACCCAAUCAUUCCAAGAAAAGCUAU